Molecule: ribosomal RNA, 529 nt
Filed under: uncultured bacterium
Lineage: Bacteria
Description: bacterial SSU rRNA
Rfam family: Bacterial small subunit ribosomal RNA
Source: RNAcentral
UAGUCCACGCCGUAAACGAUGGAUACUCGGUGUUUGGAGAAUGAACCCUCUGAGUACUCGAGCUAACGCAUUAAGUAUCCCGCCUGGGGAGUACGGUCGCAAGGCUAAAACUCAAAGGAAUUGACGGGGGGCCCGCACAAGCGGUGGAGUAUGUGGUUUAAUUCGAAGCAACGCGCAGAACCUUACCUACCCUUAACAUCCCGGGACAACCUCAGAGAUGAGGCUUCCUCUUCGGAGACUCGGUGAUAGGUGCUGCAUGGCUGUCGUCAGCUCGUGUCGUAGGAUGUUUGGUUAAGUCCAAUAACGAGCGCAACCCUUAUCUUUAGUUGCCAUCAUUAAGUUGGGGACUCUAAAGAGACUGCCGGUGUUAAACCGGAGGAAGGCGGGGAUGACGUCAAGUCCUCAUGGCCCUUACGGGUAGGGCUACACACGUACUACAAUGGCAGAAACAAACCGCUGCGAGACCGCGAGGUGGAGCAAAUCGGUAAAACACUGUCUCAGUCCGGAUUGGAGUCUGCAAUUCGACUCC